Myotis brandtii (Brandt's bat) is the source of this 1354-nucleotide long non-coding RNA. RefSeq lists it as uncharacterized. NCBI's taxonomy places the organism in Eukaryota, Metazoa, Chordata, Mammalia, Chiroptera, Vespertilionidae. The transcript has 2 exons. The record is from RefSeq and is a predicted model, not a curated record.
GGGCUCGCUUGGCUUGAUGUAGGAGACGAACCAGCACCGGUUGAUAUUGUUGAUGCAAACGCCCUGGAGGCCUGUGCCAAGCGAUGGAGGUGACUCAGCUGUGACUCCAGCAAGUAGAACUGAUAAGCAGGGUCAGUCCGACCCACCAGGAAUCAAAACACCAUCUCAUCACCCGGUGACUAAGGACAGUAGCUGCCGGCUGGCUGGGCGCCUCCAGGCCUGCACGUAGCUGCAUUCCGUCCCCAGCCUCACCCCGCCCCUUCCCCUGCAGUCCUGUCCCUGCACCUGCUGGGAGAUGGGAUCUGAACGCCUGUAAGCGCCCUGCCUUCUUGGUUGGCAGGCCUUCUCAGUAAACGCCUUCUAGGAUGCAACCCGGCCUUCGUUACAGGACAGGGUGACGGCAGCCCGAGCCCCCCCCCCCCCGGGGCUUCCCGGUCACAUCAGGUUUCGGAAGGGAAAGUGUCCCUCAAGGUUAGACUUUCCUAAGGAGCGUUGCCGCGUGACUCGUGUGUGGAUGCCACAGACAGCAGUGGCCCAAACGCGGCAGGCGCAGUGGCGUUAGGAUGUAGCUGGAAAGGGACAAAGUGACUACAUGCGGGGCCUUGCUGUGCGGGAGGCAGGAUGUGCGCCUUCGCACAUCCCAGCUGAAUGUCCCCCCGUGCAACACACAGGCCCGGAUUUCAGCCAUGACUUCCUCACCCAUCGAAUGAUGCAGAAUGCUGCCUUCUAGCCCACAAGAGAGUUGUAUGAAGCAACUGGGCUAAGGAAUGGGAAGAGGGCUCAGGGACAUGGAAAACGCGCCACCCAUAGGCGACGACUCAGCUUUUAUGGGGGCGUGAUUCCCACGCCAGCCCCCUCCGGCCCCCAACUCCCAGCAGACAGAGCUGGGGGCACGGGGCUCCUCCCAUUGCUGGUCCUCGGAGGCCAGGAGGCAGGCUCACCUUUGUCUCUUGGACGCUCGCCCCUUGGCCAGUGGGAACAAGGAAGUCUGGAAGACAAAACAGCUUCAGAAAGUCCCGCUCGGCCUCGGCCUCGGCCUCGGCCUAGGCCCCAGGGAAGAGCGCGGGGGAGGGACCUGGCUGGCCGCCAGGCCUUUGAUCCCUCGAUGAGGCUGCCCUUGCCCUGAGGCCCGGAGCCCGGUGCCCGGAGGGUGGAGAACGGGGGAGCGCCUGCCUUCGCCGCAUGCAUGUGAGAGGAGACCUCCCGUAUACUUGGAUCUUGUUCUUAAAAUUUUAGUCAAAUAAUUUCUACCUUUUGGACUGGGUUGUGGAAUUCAUUCACAUAAAGUUUUAUGAUGUAGUUAGAUUUGAUCUGGCAUUUUACUUUUUUAAAAAAAUAUAUGGAGCGCUUCACG